RNAcentral lists this ribosomal RNA (450 nucleotides) under uncultured bacterium. RNAcentral's name for it is "partial 16S ribosomal RNA". It matches the Rfam family "Bacterial small subunit ribosomal RNA", at positions 354 to 796 of the family's 1533-position model. The record is from RNAcentral.
GUGGGGAAUUUUGGACAAUGGGGGCAACCCUGAUCCAGCCAUGCCGCGUGCGGGAAGAAGGCCUUCGGGUUGUAAACCGCUUUUGUCAGGGAAGAAAUCCUUUGGGUUAAUACCUCGGAGGGAUGACGGUACCUGAAGAAUAAGCACCGGCUAACUACGUGCCAGCAGCCGCGGUAAUACGUAGGGUGCGAGCGUUAAUCGGAAUUACUGGGCGUAAAGCGUGCGCAGGCGGUUUUGUAAGAUCGAUGUGAAAUCCCCGGGCUCAACCUGGGAACUGCAUUUGUGACUGUAUAGCUAGAGUACGGUAGAGGGGGAUGGAAUUCCGCGUGUAGCAGUGAAAUGCGUAGAUAUGCGGAGGAACACCGAUGGCGAAGGCAAUCCCCUGGACCUGUACUGACGCUCAUGCACGAAAGCGUGGGGAGCAAACAGGAUUAGAAACCCGGGUAGUCC